Molecule: non-coding RNA, 261 nt
Organism: Poecilia reticulata (guppy)
Lineage: Eukaryota; Metazoa; Chordata; Actinopteri; Cyprinodontiformes; Poeciliidae
Source: RefSeq, a predicted model, not a curated record
UGGGAGAGCCUGGCCUGCACGAGCCUCGCGACACCUCUCCCAUCACCAUGCUCUUCGACCUGGCUGCAAACAACAGCCCAGGCGAAGCCUUGACUUGAGUCUGAUUGAAAACCUGUGUUGGGAGUUAAGUACCUGUGUGUUGACAAAGAGACCUUCCAACCGCAAAGACUUGGAGUUUAUCACCAAUGAAUCUCCUUCUGGCUUCUGUGCGCCCCGUCGGCCACGGACACGGCGUUGAACAGAUCCAGCAUGAACUGCGGC